This 237-nucleotide long non-coding RNA is filed under the name Elaeis guineensis (African oil palm). RNAcentral describes it as "long non-coding RNA (EGUI_LNC032470)". Lineage: Eukaryota; Viridiplantae; Streptophyta; Magnoliopsida; Arecales; Arecaceae. The record is from RNAcentral.
AUCGAAAUCCGACCUAUUUAUUAAACAGAUCAAAAAUUUAAAUCCGAACCCGAUCUAUUUAUUUAAUCCGACCCAAUCCGUUUAAUCCAUUUAUUAAAUAGGUCAAAUUAGGUUAAAUGAGUUAAACAGGUUAAAUGGAUUAAACAGGUUAAAUGGGUCAAGUUAAAUGGGUCAGAAACAGGUUAAACAUAUUUUAAACAGAUUAAAUAGGCCUUAAAUGGGUUAAACAUAUUAAAC